CGAAGGGGCUAGCGUUGCUCGGAAUUACUGGGCGUAAAGGGCGCGUAGGCGGCGGCCCAAGUCAGGCGUGAAAUUCCUGGGCUCAACCUGGGGGCUGCGCUUGAGACUGGGUUGCUAGAGGACGGAAGAGGCUCGUGGAAUUCCCAGUGUAGAGGUGAAAUUCGUAGAUAUUGGGGAAGAACACCGGUGGCGAAGGCGGCGAGCUGGUCCGUAUCUGACGCUGAGGCGCGACAGCGUGGGGGAGCAAACAGGAUU
RNAcentral lists this ribosomal RNA (255 nucleotides) under uncultured bacterium. RNAcentral describes it as "partial 16S ribosomal RNA". It matches the Rfam family "Bacterial small subunit ribosomal RNA", at positions 527 to 779 of the family's 1533-position model. The record is from RNAcentral.